CCUACGGGUGGCUGCAGUGAGGAAUAUUGGUCAAUGGGCGCGAGCCUGAACCAGCCAAGUCGCGUGAGGGAAGACGGUCCUAUGGAUUGUAAACCUCUUUUGUCGGGGAGCAAAAGACGCCACGCGUGGCGUUCCGAGCGUACCCGAAGAAAAAGCAUCGGCUCACUCCGUGCCAGCAGCCGCGGUAAUACGGAGGAUGCGAGCGUUCUCCGGAUUUAUGGGGUUUAAAGGGUGCGCAGGCGGAAGAUCAAGUCAGCGGUAAAAUUGCGAGGUUCAACCUCUGCGAGCCGGUGAAACUGGUUGUCUUGAGUGAGCGAGAAGUAUGCGGUAUGCGUGGUGUAGCGGUGAAAUGCAUAGAUAUCACGCAGAACUCCGAUUGCGAAGGCAGCAUACCGGCGCUCAACUGACGCUCAUGCACGAAAGUGUGGGUAGCGAACAGGAUUAGAUACCCCUGUAGUC
This 459-nucleotide ribosomal RNA is filed under the name uncultured bacterium. RNAcentral's name for it is "partial 16S ribosomal RNA". It matches the Rfam family "Bacterial small subunit ribosomal RNA", at positions 338 to 795 of the family's 1533-position model. The record is from RNAcentral.